AAAACAUGUAAUGAAAAGCAUCAGUGUUCUAUCAAAAAAACCACUUCUAACAACACAGAAAAAACAAUCCGCACAUAUGCCAGAUAAUUCAAAUUUUCAGAAAGAAAGAAGAACCUUUCUCAAGUUACAUACACAUCCAACUGGUUUUCAAUUUUAUUACCAUGGUUUACAUAACCAAAAAAAAUAAUUGCAUAUCAUGAUUACGUUCCCUUCUUGGACAAAGUUACAACAAACUAUAAUAGAAGUUUAAUCAACCCAAAUGACAAUAUAUUCUCCAUCUACAAUAACAUGAUUAAAAUCAAUAACCAAGAACAAACAAGUUCAAUAAUUAAUUUUAUUCUUCCUUUGUUGCCUAUUACACGCAUGUUCUUCAUCUCUUGCUCCAUUCGGUUAAUCUUUCUAAGUAAUCCAGAGAUUAUUUUCCUUGAUUUGUCAUACAUUGGAGGAUCGUACCAACCAAAAAUCUGACAAGCAUUGCUCUAUAAACAAAGAAGUUUUCAAUUUUAUGUGCAAGUAAAUAGAAUGGAAGAGAUAAGAGACAAAAUUAGAACCCUAAAACACUUACUUUUCCAUAAUUAGGACAUGAUAAAAACCUUCUUCCUGGGUAUCGGUUCAUGCUGUUUUAAGUUGAACUCGCCUCCCACAAUCACAUAGUGCGUUCAUGGCUGCAAAUACAAAACGGGAAAUCAUCCUUGUAAAUUAAGAGGCCAGGAACAAAGACUCGGGAACAAUGGAAAUAGACUGUUCUAUGAGAGAAGACAACUCAAAAGGCAAUUAAUAUUUAAGAAAUAUCAGAGACGUUAGCAGAAACUUCUGGAACGCUUGUGAUCCAAAAAAAUAUGGGAAUGUAUGUAACAGGUAACAGGAAGUGAAAUACAAAUAAAAGAUAAAGCGACAUUUUUGUUCAAAUAACAUUUAAGACAUCACUGAUCACAUAGAUAGACAUAGCGUUGGAAGCAGUAUAAGGAGUACACAACUAUCCUAAUCUGGAAACGACUUAGCGAAAAAUUAAAUACUAGAACAAACAAUCAAUGGUGAAUUAUGAAACACGAUACCAAUAUCUGCAACAUAACAUAUUUUUAUAUCAUCUCCAAAACCUCCUGCAACCUUAAUAUAUAGGCCCAAUUUAGAGGUCAACAGUUCACAAAGAAUUCAGUCGUACAAAAGUAAUUAAAAUUUCAGGACAAGUACCAUUUUGAAGUUCAUACUUGUACUACCCGCGAAUUUUAAUAAAUAAUAUUAGUAUUGAGAAUAAUAAUUGUGUGAAUAUUUAUUUGAAUAUAUAUAUAUAUAUAUAUAUAUUCAUGGCAAGAGGGGUGAUAAUUCAAUUAACUUGAAUUGAGUAUGAUGAUUGAGAAAUAUGAAGGAAAUAAUGAAAAUCUUAAUUUAAGUUUAUGUGAUAUGCUUUGUGGCAUGAUGAUGGACUAAGUGAUAGUCUAAUUAAAUUAAUAAAGGAAUGAUUUAAUGAGAAAAAGAUUAAUUAAUAUUAUAUUAUUUAAUUAAUUGUUGUUAUGUGUAGUUGAAUAUAAUUGAGUAAUGAAGUUAAUUCAUGCAUGAAAUAUAAAAUAAGGUGUGAAAUUAGAAGGGAAUAAAUGUUAUAUAAAAGUAAGUUGGAUCAUAUAAUUUUACUAAGUUCUGUAAAGGAGCUUAUGUGACAUCAUAAUGUGUGGUGGGACAUUUCAUUGUCUAUUUUAAAUAUAUGGAAGAAAAUAAAUUCAAGUAAAUAAGUAUUUACUAUUAAAUAUUUAUUUCCAUGUUUAUGUGUAAUUAGAAUAAUAAGUUUAUGGGAAAUAAUGGGGUAUUGGUACCCAACUAAAUUAUAUUCUAACUUACAUUAAAUAUUAUUUGGGUUAACCCAAUGUACAUGGAUUAUAUGAUUAUAUGUAUACGUAACCUUAAAUUAAACCAAUGUAAUAAUAUUAACUCAUUAAAAUUGCAUUUGUGAGUCAAAACGGAAUUAACCUUACGCUCUGUUUCUGAGUUUUAAAAUGGACAGAAAAGAAAAGAAAAGAAAUGGACGGAAAAUUUAAGUUUUCUUUCCAAUUCUUAUGUUUCUGAGUUUUUUAAUAAACGGAAAAGAAAAGAAAUGGAUAGAAAACUUGGCCACUUUUCCUGCCAAAGUUUUCCGUCCAAAAUUGGCAUGAUUUGGACGGAAAAGAAAUUAGAAUAAGUAAUAUUUUUAUAAUUCCCAUAUUAUCCUCAACUUUUAAUAUAAUAAAUUUUAAAUUACAACUCAUGUCCUCAAUUUUAAAUUUUCUAUCCUUUUCCAUUAAAAACUCAGAAACAACACAAAGGAAAACUUUAAGUUUUCUAUUCUUUUCUUUUCUGUUCUAAUUUAAGUUUUCUAUUCUUUUCUUUUCUGUUCAAAACUCAGAAACAGAGUGUUAGUGUAUUAAAUACAUUUUUACUGAUAUGUGAGGAGUAUUUCUACUUGUCCCAAAAUCUGUGUCACAAAUUUUCUACAGAUACGUGAAUAGGCCAUUGGCCCAAGCCUACCUUACCCAAACUCAGAGGAUAACAAUGAUGGUGAGAAGAAUGGAAGAGAAGAAGUUGGUAGUUUAUUUCCACAAACUCUUCAUUGCCCAACAUCUUCUUCCUUCUUCCCUUGGUUUAAUUUCUAGGGCAAUAACCAAAUUUGGAUAUUAAGUCCUCUACAAAUAGCAGCCCCCUCUUCUCAAAUUCACCUUGCUAGAUUGUCUGAUAAGUUCAUUUAGAGAGAGUGAGUUGUUAAUUUGAAAGAGCUAUCUGAAAUUUCGAAGCAAACUUGGUAACUCAACUUCAACAGAGGUAAUAUUUCGUAAGUACGUUCUUAGUUUCAAGUUUGAUAAAUUUUUGAAAUUGCAUGAAUUACUUAUGAAUUAGUUUGUAAAUUGCUAUCAUGAUGUUAACUGAGUUAGUAUGAAUGUAUGGAGUCAAUAGGUUUGGGUUAGGCAUGGUGAAUUGAGGGAUUUCAUGGAUUGUUAGCUGGGUUCUGUAGAAGCAGAGGCUUUUCUGUGUCUGUAACGAAGUGGCGCAGCCGCGCCACUUCCUAGUACAAACACAGCGCGGUUGCGCCGCCCGUCAGUCAUGAAAUCUAAUUUUUGUUGCUUUUUGUUAUUUUGAGCAUGUUAGUUGGACUUGAUUCUAGUUAUAAAUAUCUUUGACAUGCUAACAAAGGUUGCUUUACUUAUAGUCACUCGCCUUAACUUGUUUUAGUUGGAGUUUUAAAGGAAACUUAUAAGUUGAAAAACGAAACUUGACGAACUAUAUGUCUUUUAAGUUCCGACCUUUUGAGUAUGUGUAAAUACCCUAGAUAUGUAUAUAAAGGGGUCUAGCAUGUGGUCUAAAGUCGUCUUGCAUAUACUAGAUUGUUAUAGUUUGGUUUAGUAAUGAUUUUAAAGGAAAAACUUGAAGAUAAAUCUUGUGUCUUUGAGUUCUGAUCUUUUGGAACAUGUACAUGGCUUGAUUAUGUGUACAAAUGAUUAUGGGGCGUGGUUUCAAGUUUGUCUGGUGUAUAAUAGAUUGCAUAGCUUGGCUUUCAAAGAAAACUUGAAGUUUUGAAGUUUAGUACUCUUGAACAUUGUGUAAUUUGUAUUCUGACCAUUCAAGCAUAUAUGCUAGGACAUUUUUUUUUUGCUUAUAGAGAUGACCAAUGUGAUCACCCUCUAGCUAAGCAUGAUUUAGACUUUUCAAGCAUGGUUUAAAAUGAGAUUUCAAGUGUUAAACUAUUCAACGUAAGUGUAAAUAAGUUGUAUACAUGUGAUCAUGCGUAUUAAAGGUUUAUUAGCAUAAUUAUGUGAUAUAAUGGGUAAUAUGGUUAGCCUCUUGUGCAACGAACUCUUUUAGCCUUGUUAAGUAAAUGUUUUCCCGAAUAAAACUAUAACUUGCUUGCAAGUAAAUAGAAGAGACCAAACCUAGCCCAAAAGCAAAUAACAUGUAUGUACAGUAUGUAUCAUCAUCAAUGUAUGCUAGUAAGUGAGCUAAGAUCAUACAAACUCAUUUUCAGUUCUGGUUUGGAUAGGGAGCAGCGCGAAUCCAGCGCAGCCACGCCGUAGGACAGUGUAAUCUGACUGUUAAUUUGAUAAUCUGAAACUUGAUGCAUGUGUGUAUGAAUGUCUUAAGCUAUGCUACAUGACUUAAGUAAUGUUUUAAGUGUUCAAGCAUGUAAUGACUAUAUGAAACCAAGAUUUGAUAAGUGUUUCUAAAACUUUUACAAGCUAAGACAACGAUGAUUUCAAAAUAUAUAUGUGGUUUGAUUGUAUAUCAAAGGUGGGACUGAAAAUAUAUGUUUAACAUAUGUUUAAUAUGUGUUUAGAAUCGUAAGAUUAUGAACCAAACUUGUAUAACGUACUAAUGCGUAUAUACAUCUAUACAUAAAUAGGAUACUAUAAGACUUUGUAGUGACGUUAAGCUUUAGAUUUGUAAUCUACGCUAAAAGCAAGUUCCCUAACUUAAACUCGAGUUAUUAUCUUUCAAGCAUGUUAGUGGAUAAUUAUUGUGAUUACUCCACAUCUAUUGAACAUUCGCAUUUAUUGCAAGUUCUCUAACUCUCUUAACUUUACCUAUUGUGUAAAUCUGAAUUGUUGCUAUAUCGACUAUAUUUACAUCGAACAAAUAUCUCUUAAUAUUCAGACUUUGAUUUUGUAUCUUGAUGUUGUUACAAUCAUUAAACUUAUCAUUCCUAAAUGCAUUAUAAAAGUUAUCUAAGCCAUUUUAAUCGGUUAGACUAAUAUCAUGUGUUGGAAAGCUAUCAUAACCAAUUGUCUUGGUGCGGACUCUUAAAAAUCUACUGAGAUGAACAACCCUCAUUGAAGGGGAAAUUAUAUAUUGUCGGGAAACCGACGUGCGCACAAAAAGCAUGUUUAAAUGUUAUGCAUAACGUAGAGUAUUUUGGGUUGAUCACCUAAUAUACUUGUUUUAUUGGAUUAUCAGUUUAAUACUGAUGAUUCUUGUAGGAGUUAUUGGUCCAUAGUGACUACUCAAUGUUGAAACCUUUGAAUCCUUUUAAAAUCCUUCAGUCUAUAAUGACUCAUUGUUUAUGAUUCAAAUGACAGAUUUGGAACAAUUGAUACUUCUUGUUACAACAUUAUCCUUUUAAUUCCUGAACUAUUAUUUACUGUUAUAUCGUUAAGAUUUCAAUGUAUGCAUGUUCACCCUUAUUGUUAUAUACUUGCUGAGUAAAUUUGUUGCUCAUUCUUGCUUUCUUUAAACCUUUCAAUUAAGGCAGAACGUGGUGAACCUUCAAGCAAUGAUAAGGGAAAGGGCAAGGCUACGACAUAGCUUUGUUCUUUUAUAUAGAAGAUUUAUCGUAUUGUUGUAUUUAAGACUUAUAUAUGAUUUUGUAUUAUGACUUGAUUAGUAUUAUGUAUUAAGUUAUGUCUGGAUUUAAGAUAUUUAAUGUUGUAAUAACGGUUGCGAGACCUUGGGGCGAGAAUAUUUAUAUUAAAUUAAUGUAAAUUAUUCUAUUAUUCCGUUGUAUGAGUUAUUAGUGUAUUAUUCGAAUGAGAUCGUGAAGCACCGAAUUCGAGAUAUUAGUGUCUGAAUUUGGGGGUGUCACAAUACUGACACAAGUGGCAACCAUAAAUCUAGGAUCUUGUAAACAAAAAGUUGGAUAUUUGUCAUACCACUAAUAACUAAGCAUUUUAAUAAGUUUAACCCCAAGAAGUCUCAUCACCAUCCAAUGCCCAACUGCAACACUGCUUUCUGAACUACUUGAAGAUCUCAUACAAACAUAUACAACACAAAUAAACCGGGUGUUCAAAUACAGCAACAUAUUUGAUAAUACAUACAUAAGGGAUAUGAUGAGCCAACAUGAAGAAUGUUCUUCAAAGAACCAUUAUUUAUUGAGAUAUUUUAAAACCCAAUCCGAAAGUGGGAAAAAAUAAAUCAAACACCAAAUUUACAUAAACAAAUUUGUUUAUAUCAAUGAAGACUCACAUCAAGCAAUUUAUCAUGAAAGCCCAUUAGACUUAUUGUUAGUUGGUCCGUCAGAAAAGAAAAGGAAAAAGGGGCUUUAAUGUUUAAUCUUAUGGUGUCUGGCUUAUUUAUUGUGUCUUACUUACUCCAUGUAAAAUCUAAGGUGUUCACAUUUUCGAAAAAAAGUAGCAUGUGCUCUAUUCUACGUUGGCUCACUUAGUCCAGAUCUUUGGUUUGUCUAUCUUUGCAGGUUACAAUGCCAAUUUAACACUACUUGGUUUUGCAGUUGUUGAGCAUGCUUACCAGUUGGGAAAUGCAACUCAAAAACAGGAGCUUUUGAUGGAAUUGUAUUCUACUGAGCUGCAAUUGUUUAAGGAUCUGGUCUCUAUGAAAGAAAGCAGGUAAAAGACUAGCUUUUCAAAAUAUUUUCCCAACUCUUUUAUUCUUAAAGUGUGUCUUUAUCUUCAACACAAGUCUGGCAAAUAAUAUUCCUGUACGUAUAGCUUCCCUAUAUCCAUCUCCCGAAGAUUUUGUUACAGACAACAUUUUGAGUUUAUACUUCACUUAUAGACUCCACUUGCCCCCCCCCCCCUGCCCAUUUUUNNNNNNNNNNNNNNNNNNNNNNNNNNNNNNNNNNNNNNNNNNNNNNNNNNNNNNNNNNNNNNNNNNNNNNNNNNNNNNNNNNNNNNNNNNNNNNNNNNNNUUCAAGGACAAAGUUUAUGAAGAUAACUAUGAGUAAUUCUGGACAAAAGCUGAAUUUUGGAGUUAAAAACUUUAAAGGAAAAUCCAUUUUAGCAAAGAGUUGAAGAUUAGCCCUUGGGAGUUCUUUUUAUUUUUUAUGGCAGGAAGGAACAUAAUCUAUACAAUAAUUAUAUGACAACAUAACCAGGAGCUCUGAAAUUUUAAUAAACCCUUGCAGAUUCUAUGGUUUGGCCCUCAAAAAUUAUUAGCCCUAAAAAAGCAAUUAUUGAAAACCAAAGCAAAAAAUUUAAAAAAUUAAGCCUAAUUCAAGACUAACGGCAAGAAAGUUCAUUUAUCCACAUUUAAUUUUGUUACCUUGCAGUGAAUCGACGGAUCGAUUUAGGGCUUGGUGUGAAUCGACGAGAUGGGCGGAGAUAGCUUGGUGUGAAUCGACGAGAUGGUUGAGUCGCGAGGAGAUGGAUGAUUCCUUAAUGUGAAUCGACGGUGGUAUGACAACGUACGAGAGAUGGGCGGCCUUAGAGCAUCUCUGCAGUUACACUAUCUGAUUAGUCCAUAUGACAUAAACAAAUGUCUUUUAGUCUUCCAUCUUUUUA
This 7190-nucleotide long non-coding RNA is filed under the name Panax ginseng (ginseng). Its description in RNAcentral is "long non-coding RNA (PGIN_LNC008908)". The record is from RNAcentral. Lineage: Eukaryota; Viridiplantae; Streptophyta; Magnoliopsida; Apiales; Araliaceae.